Molecule: long non-coding RNA, 316 nt
Filed under: Mytilus galloprovincialis (Mediterranean mussel)
Lineage: Eukaryota; Metazoa; Mollusca; Bivalvia; Mytilida; Mytilidae
Source: RNAcentral
CCCGGGUCAAUGGACAAAGCCAAUGCAAUGUUACGCGACUCAUGUUCGCAUACUUAUUUUUAUUUAUUUUGGUAAUCGAUCUAUUUCCGGAAUCAUGUAAUAUUUAUCGUCAUGAACAUUUUGUUUUUACUUGCUGAACAUUGGUUUCUUUUACAUAAAUUAAACAUCUUUAUACGUUUUGAAAUUAAUUAUAUGUUUUUGUUGGAUUUGAACUUUGUCUUGUAUAUUUUUUUACUUGUCCACGGGCAACCAAGACAAAAAUAAUUACUUGUCCGGUUGUUCAAAUGUACGAGUCGGGCAUAGCAUUUCCACACCC